Molecule: ribosomal RNA, 253 nt
Filed under: uncultured bacterium
Lineage: Bacteria
Description: partial 16S ribosomal RNA
Rfam family: Bacterial small subunit ribosomal RNA
Source: RNAcentral
UACGGAGGGUGCAAGCGUUAAUCGGAAUUACUGGGCGUAAAGCGCGCGUAGGCGGUUUGUUAAGCUAGAUGUGAAAGCCCUGGGCUCAACCUGGGAACUGCAUUUAGAACUGGCAGGCUAGAGUACAAGAGAGGGUGGUGGAAUUUCCAGUGUAGCGGUGAAAUGCGUAGAUAUUGGAAGGAACAUCAGUGGCGAAGGCGGCCACCUGGAUUGAUACUGACGCUGAGGUGCGAAAGCGUGGGGAGCGAACAGG